UCUCCGUAGGUGAACCUGCGGAGGGAUCAUUACAGAGUUCAUGCCCUACCGGGUAGAUCUCCCACCCUAUGUUAUUAUUACUUUGUUGCUUUGGCGGGCCGUUAGGCUCCGGCCCGACUACCGGCCCCGGCUGGUAAGCGCCCGCCAGAGGACCCAAAACCCUGAAUAUUAGUGUCGUCUGAGUACUAGAUAAUAGUUAAAACUUUCAACAACGGAUCUCUUGGUUCUG
Molecule: unclassified non-coding RNA, 229 nt
Filed under: plant metagenome
Description: partial contains small subunit ribosomal RNA, internal transcribed spacer 1, and 5.8S ribosomal RNA
Source: RNAcentral